Molecule: ribosomal RNA, 414 nt
Filed under: uncultured bacterium
Lineage: Bacteria
Description: bacterial SSU rRNA
Rfam family: Bacterial small subunit ribosomal RNA
Source: RNAcentral
UCGAGGAUCUUUGGCAAUGGGCGCAAGCCUGACCAAGCGACGCCGCGUGUGCGAUGAAGGCCUUCGGGUUGUAAAGCACUGUCGAGGGGGAUAAAGCCCCGCAAGGGGUUGAUUGAUCCCUGGAGGAAGCACGGGCUAAGUUCGUGCCAGCAGCCGCGGUAAGACGAACCGUGCGAACGUUGUUCGGAAUCACUGGGCUUAAAGGGCGCGUAGGCGGCAUGGCCAGUCCGGGGUGAAAGCCCCCAGCUCAACUGGGGAAGUGCCUUGGAAACUGCUGUGCUCGAGGGAGGUAGGGGUCGAGGGAACUUCUGGUGGAGCGGUGAAAUGCGUUGAUAUCAGAAGGAACGCCGGUGGCGAAAGCGCUCGACUGGACCUUUGCUGACGCUGAGGCGCGAAAGCUAGGGGAGCAAACGG